Molecule: ribosomal RNA, 274 nt
Filed under: uncultured bacterium
Lineage: Bacteria
Description: partial 16S ribosomal RNA
Rfam family: Bacterial small subunit ribosomal RNA
Source: RNAcentral
AUACGGAGGGUGCAAGCGUUGUUCGGAAUCACUGGGCGUAAAGGGCGCGCAGGCGGUUUGGUAAGUCAGAUGUGAAAGCCCACGGCUCGACCGUGGAAGUGCAUUUGAAACUGUCAGACUUGAGUACUAGAGGGGAAAGUGGAAUUCCCGGUGUAGAGGUGAAAUUCGUAGAUAUCGGGAGGAAUACCGGUGGCGAAGGCGACUUUCUGGCUAGAUACUGACGCUGAGGCGCGAAAGCGUGGGGAGCAAACAGGAUUAGAAACCCUAGUAGUCC